Molecule: ribosomal RNA, 242 nt
Filed under: uncultured Planctomycetales bacterium
Lineage: Bacteria; Pseudomonadati; Planctomycetota; Planctomycetia; Planctomycetales
Description: partial 16S ribosomal RNA
Rfam family: Bacterial small subunit ribosomal RNA
Source: RNAcentral
GGAGUUAGGAAAUGUAAGUGCGCUAAUAUCGCAUUUAUUUGACGAAGGCUCCAAAGGAAGCCACGGCUAACUCUGUGCCAGCAGCCGCGGUAAUACAGAGGUGGCAAGCGUUGUUCGGAAUUAUUGGGCGUAAAGAGCACGUAGGUGGGUUUGCAAGUCAGAUGUGAAAGCCUUCUGUUCAACGGAAGAAUUGCAUCUGAAACUGCAAGUCUUGAGUGUAGGAGGGGAGAGUGGAACUUCUG